GCCUGUUACUGUUGUUAGAGCAGCUGACUCUUAAUCAGCGGGCCCAGGGUUCGAGUCCCUGAAAGUGCACCA
This 72-nucleotide transfer RNA is filed under the name Subdoligranulum sp. 4_3_54A2FAA. RNAcentral's name for it is "tRNA-Lys". Lineage: Bacteria; Bacillati; Bacillota; Clostridia; Eubacteriales; Oscillospiraceae. RNAcentral also lists the same sequence under 1 other name. The record is from RNAcentral.